Long non-coding RNA from Eurytemora carolleeae, 280 nucleotides. RefSeq lists it as uncharacterized. The transcript has 3 exons. The record is from RefSeq and is a predicted model, not a curated record. NCBI's taxonomy places the organism in Eukaryota, Metazoa, Arthropoda, Copepoda, Calanoida, Temoridae.
CUAAUUCUAGUUUAUGAUAAUAUAAUCAUCUUAUUAUUUGUAUUUUAUUUUGAAUCUUGAUAAAGCACUAGAACAUGUUGAAGCAGUUAAAUUUAUGCAUCUGCUUUCUUCAAAUGGUUUCAGCAAAAAAAUUUCUUAUUCAGACAGCAGAUACACAGGCAAUGAAUAGUUAUGGAGACAUAAUGCUACCUGGAUAUUUACCUGGAUAUUCAGCCCUUGGAGACGAUUACUUUUUAUUUCUGGGGGGUUUGGCCUUUGGAGGUUUGGGAGGCUGGGGAGG